AGAGUUUGAUCAUGGCUCAGAGUGAACGCUGGCGGCGUGCCUAACACAUGCAAGUCGAACGAGAACGGAUAUAAGUUUACUUAUAUUGUCAGCUAAGUGGCGCACGGGUGAGUAAUAUAUAGUUAAUCUGCCCUGAAGAAGAGAAUAAUUGUUGGAAACGACUUGUAAUGCUCUAUAUGCCUUUAUCACAUAAGUGAGCAAGGGAAAUAUUUAUAGCUUCGGGAUGAGACUGUACGGCAUCAGCUAGUUGGUGAGGUAAUGGCUCACCAAGGCUAUGACAUCUAACUGGUUUGAGAGGAUGAUCAGUCACACUGGAACUGAGACACGGUCCAGACUCCUACGGGAGGCAGCAGUGGGGAAUAUCGCACAAUGGAGGAAACUCUGAUGCAGCAACGCCGCGUGGAGGAUGACACAUUUCGGUGCGUAAACUCCUUUUAUUAGGGAAGAUAAUGACGGUACCUAAUGAAUAAGCACCGGCUAACUCCGUGCCAGCAGCCGCGGUAAUACGGGGGGUGCAAGCGUUACUCGGAAUCACUGGGCGUAAAGAGCAUGUAGGCUGAUUAGUAAGUUGGAAGUGAAAUCCUAUGGCUCAA
This 593-nucleotide ribosomal RNA is filed under the name uncultured bacterium. Its description in RNAcentral is "bacterial SSU rRNA". It matches the Rfam family "Bacterial small subunit ribosomal RNA", at positions 8 to 612 of the family's 1533-position model. The record is from RNAcentral.